Molecule: long non-coding RNA, 233 nt
Filed under: Elaeis guineensis (African oil palm)
Lineage: Eukaryota; Viridiplantae; Streptophyta; Magnoliopsida; Arecales; Arecaceae
Description: long non-coding RNA (EGUI_LNC017179)
Source: RNAcentral
GCUCGAUCUUAUCUACUUUUUACUGAAUAAUAUCUGAUCUUAAUAGCCUUAUCUCAUCGACUUCAUCCCAACAUACAGCGGUCACUGCAUCAAUUUAUAGAAACAGUGAUAGAUUUUUACCAGCAUAUAUUAAAAAUGCCGCUAAUGUAAACUUUCUCCAGUAUUUUGUAAUUUUUUUACAAAGCUGAUGUCUAAUAUACAGUAGAGAUAUAUAGUAAGUACUUAUUUGUUAC